UCAGCAGGCCUCAGGCAGAAGCAGACAAGAAGGGUAAGAAGUAAAGGAGAGGGAGGAAAGGAGUUGAAAGAAUAAGAGAAUGAGGUGAAAGCUGAAGUCCCCACAGAGAGUCUUGCUCUGUCACCCAGGCUGGAGUGCAGUGGUGUAAUCUCAGCUCACCACAACCUUCACCUCCUGGGUUCAAGUGAUUCUUGUGCCUCAGCCUCCCAAGCAGCUGGGACCACAGAGGAGAUCUCUGAAGAAAUUGCUGAUGAAAGUCCAACAGGCUCUUCCAGUUUGUCUGGUCGGUCACAUUUGCUGAAACCUGGAGGAAUUGUUAGCGGAAGCUCAACAGGCCUGACUCAGUCUGACUGUCCAUUCUUCUGGAAGCUGCAGAGAAAAGAAACCUGGAAACCUUAUAUGCUGACAAAAAGGGACACAAUUGGAUAUGAUGGUUAUUUUACCAAGGUUUUGAAAUGUUGUGCUUUCAAAUAUAAACAGACUGCUUUAAGGAAUCGAAGUUGACUUAUAGAGCCAAUAAAAGCCCUGCAGGAAA
Molecule: long non-coding RNA, 535 nt
Organism: Pan troglodytes (chimpanzee)
Lineage: Eukaryota; Metazoa; Chordata; Mammalia; Primates; Hominidae
Exons: 3
Source: RefSeq, a predicted model, not a curated record